AUUGAACGCUGGCGGCAGGCCUAACACAUGCAAGUCGAGCGGAUGAAGGGAGCUUGCUCCUGGAUUCAGCGGCGGACGGGUGAGUAAUGCCUAGGAAUCUGCCUGGUAGUGGGGGAUAACGUCCGGAAACGGGCGCUAAUACCGCAUACGUCCUGAGGGAGAAAGUGGGGGAUCUUCGGACCUCACGCUAUCAGAUGAGCCUAGGUCGGAUUAGCUAGUUGGUGGGGUAAAGGCCUACCAAGGCGACGAUCCGUAACUGGUCUGAGAGGAUGAUCAGUCACACUGGAACUGAAACACGGUCCAGACUCCUACGGGAGGCAGCAGUGGGGAAUAUUGGACAAUAGGCGAAAGCCUGAUCCAGCCAUGCCGCGUGUGUGAAGAAGGUCUUCGGAUUGUAAAGCACUUUAAGUUGGGAGGAAGGGCAGUAAGUUAAUACCUUGCUGUUUUGACGUUACCAACAGAAUAAGCACCGGCUAACUUCGUG
This 484-nucleotide ribosomal RNA is filed under the name uncultured bacterium. RNAcentral's name for it is "partial 16S ribosomal RNA". It matches the Rfam family "Bacterial small subunit ribosomal RNA", at positions 30 to 507 of the family's 1533-position model. The record is from RNAcentral.